GAUGAAGAACGUAGCGAAAUGCGAUACGUAGUGUGAAUUGCAGAAUUCAGUGAAUCAUCGAAUCUUUGAACGCACAUUGCACCUCUCGGUAUUCCGGGAGGUAUGCCUGUUCGAGCGUCAUUUGUACCCUCAAGCUCUGCUUGGUGUUGGGUGUUUGUUCCGCCUCUGUGUGUGAACUCGCCUCAAAACAAUUGGCAGCCGGCGUACUUGUUUCGGAGCGCAGCACAUUUUGCGAUCCAGAUCAACGUACAGCGGCAUCCAAGAAGGCUUAUUUAACGCUCUUGACCUCGGAUCAGGUAGGGAUACCCGCUGAACUUAAGCAUAUCAAUAAGCGGAGGA
RNAcentral lists this unclassified non-coding RNA (339 nucleotides) under soil metagenome. Its description in RNAcentral is "partial contains 5.8S ribosomal RNA, internal transcribed spacer 2, and large subunit ribosomal RNA". The stretch from base 1 to 120 matches the Rfam family "5.8S ribosomal RNA", at positions 35 to 154 of the family's 154-position model. The record is from RNAcentral.